This is a small nuclear RNA of Dipodomys ordii (Ord's kangaroo rat), 106 nucleotides long. NCBI's taxonomy places the organism in Eukaryota, Metazoa, Chordata, Mammalia, Rodentia, Heteromyidae. The record is from Ensembl.
CUGUUCAUUUCAGCAGCAAAUAUAAUAAAUAGUACCAAUUCAGGGAAAAAUAGUAUAGCUCCUGUGUAAGGAUGACACACAAAUUCACAAAGCAUUCCAUAUUUUU